Molecule: RNA transcript, 1013 nt
Organism: Limulus polyphemus (Atlantic horseshoe crab)
Lineage: Eukaryota; Metazoa; Arthropoda; Merostomata; Xiphosura; Limulidae
Gene name: gem-associated protein 8-like
Exons: 4
Source: RefSeq, a predicted model, not a curated record
ACAUUCUCCAUCGGUAUCAAUAAGAGCGUCGAAAGAUAAAAGUAUAAGUUAAGGAUUCUUGUAAGUUCAAACAGUUUAGGGUAGUUGUUGAAGCAUUAUUUAAAACUUUUAAAUUAUUGUGACAUUGAAAUACGAAAACUUGAGGAUAUGUGAGAUCAGAGGUCACCACUACUUAACAACUAGCAAAAUGACCAGCUUUAAUAGCCCAUCUAUCAGGAAUUAUCAUCAUCUUUAUUGCCGAUACUGGACUUCUUAUGAUCAAAUGGUUAGUUGGUGUUGUUACAACAAAAUGAUAACUAUGAACUUUUACCCAAUUCCAAGAAAACAUAAUCUAUGCAGUUGUUCAUUCAAAGAUAGUAAGCACUUUGAUGAGUUUAAGAAUAAGUGUGAACUUAAACACCAAGAAACUAAGUGUUGUUGUGUUAGAUCAUCUCCAAUUAAUUAUAAUUACCCAAGCAAGUAUGGAACUUGCGUGAAUUCAUGUAGUGCUUCUAGUGAUUCAGAAGAUUCUCAGACACUUCUUAUGAAAGAUCUCUUAGAAAAACAUGGAAACUCAACAGACAAUUCAAGUGAAGAUGAGUUAGAGAUGGAGAUCACUGAAGACAUGAUGGCUUUCUUUGAACAUUCUGCCAGACAUAAAGCAGAACUUGGUUUCUCUAUGUAAAACUCACUUUCUUUAUACAGCAUUGAAAAAAGAUAGGCAGGGCAUGGAAGAAGAGUACUGCGUGAACCUAGAAAAUUUGUCAGUGGCUGGUCCUCUUCAACGGAGCACACUUCCACCUGCUCUUCAGCCCAACAGCAAAAGAAUUGAGGAAAUGACAGAACUUUAUGGAAAAGCAGCACAAACUAUUUAUGGGAUGGAAACUUCCUUGCAGUUAACCUUUGAUAAGUUCUGUGACUUAAAGCAACCAAAACUUUGGCCAAAUAUACCUUUUAAAUUUUAAGCUUGUCUUUUUUUUUGUGAAUAAAAAGUAAACUAAAAAAUAUAAACAGCAUUUUGCUUUCUAAAAAAC